This 292-nucleotide ribosomal RNA is filed under the name uncultured bacterium. Its description in RNAcentral is "partial 16S ribosomal RNA". It matches the Rfam family "Bacterial small subunit ribosomal RNA", at positions 505 to 796 of the family's 1533-position model. The record is from RNAcentral.
GUGUCAGCCGCCGCGGUAAUACGUAGGGUGCGAGCGUUAAUCGGAAUUACUGGGCGUAAAGUGUGCGCAGGUGGCUUCGCAAGUCGAGUGUGAAAUCCCCGGGCUUAACCUGGGAAUUGCGCUCGAAACUACGGAGCUGGAGUGUGGCAGAGGGAGGUGGAAUUCCACGUGUAGCGGUGAAAUGCGUAGAGAUGUGGAGGAACACCAAUGGCGAAGGCAGCCUCCUGGGCCAACACUGACACUCAUGCACGAAAGCGUGGGGAGCAAACAGGAUUAGAAACCCCCGUAGUCC